GGACAGCUUCAAGGCCGUGCGACCCUGGCUCAUCAACGUACAGGAAGCUGCGGGAGUGGGCAUUCCCAUCCUGCUCCUGGGCAACAAGAUGGAUGCGACGUCCGAGAGGGAGGUACCACUUAAAGAUGCAGAGACUCUGGCCCACGACACCCGUGUGAUAUUCUAUGAGGUCAGUGCUUACACCGGCUACAACGUGACAGAGGCCAUAUUCCACCUGGCCAGAGUGCUGAAAGAGCAGGAGGAUCGGGUGAGAGACACGUUUGUCUUAUUGGAGGCCCUGCCCAUCAAGAAGAAAGCCUGCUGCAAGUAAAG
Salvelinus sp. IW2-2015 is the source of this 312-nucleotide non-coding RNA. The record is from RefSeq and is a predicted model, not a curated record. NCBI's taxonomy places the organism in Eukaryota, Metazoa, Chordata, Actinopteri, Salmoniformes, Salmonidae.